AUUGAACGCUGGCGGCAUGCCUUACACAUGCAAGUCGAACGGCAGCACGGGAGCUUGCUCCUGGUGGCGAGUGGCGAACGGGUGAGUAAUGCAUCGGAACGUACCCGGAAGUGGGGGAUAACGUAGCGAAAGUUACGCUAAUACCGCAUAUUCUGUGAGCAGGAAAGAGGGGGAUCGCAAGACCUCUCGCUUUCGGAGCGGCCGAUGUCGGAUUAGCUAGUUGGUGGGGUAAAGGCCUACCAAGGCGACGAUCCGUAGCGGGUAUGAGAGGAUGAUCCGCCACACUGGAACUGAGACACGGUCCAGACUCCUACGGGAGGCAGCAGUGGGGAAUUUUGGACAAUGGGCGAAAGCCUGAUCCAGCCAUGCCGCGUGAGUGAAGAAGGCCUUCGGGUUGUAAAGCUCUUUCGGCUGAAAAGAAAUCGCACAGGCUAAUACCCUGUGUGGAUGACGGUAUCAGCAUAAGAAGCACCGGCUAACCACGUGCCAGCCGCCGCGGUAA
This 502-nucleotide ribosomal RNA is filed under the name uncultured bacterium. RNAcentral describes it as "partial 16S ribosomal RNA". It matches the Rfam family "Bacterial small subunit ribosomal RNA", at positions 30 to 523 of the family's 1533-position model. The record is from RNAcentral.